GCGCAGUGGGCUGAAAAUGACAAGUGAUAUCGGGUGGUGGGUUCGUCGGCCUGCGACGUGCUCCGUCAGAUCACUGCAGCUACUUGGCGACUGAUGCUGUUGAUUUCUUGUGGUUUUCGAGUUUUAGCUUGGACCGCUACCCUUUCUUGUGGUCUCGAGCAUAAUUUAUCGCCUUUUUGGUUGAAUAGCUCAAUAUAAUUACGACGCCAUAACCGAAGGAACGGAAGACCUUGGUGCUGAAGGCAUACACCAGGCCAGAAUUCUACCUGGAAGCAUGUAUGCGUCAAGGGUUUGUCGCCGACUCCUUCAGCAUGAAGAACCUACCCGGGUCAGCAACGCUCCACACAAACAGUACCAACUGAGCCAACAACUAUAGUACUAGCAAAUCUCCAGCGAAUCCCCUGUCACACCCGGGUUUUAGGGGUCCAAAGCUCGGGCGCGAACAUAAUCACCAGGUGUGCUGAGACCAAGUCUCACACAUAUGAUGAAUCAUGGCACAUGAUCGAAUGUCACAUCUGUACUAUAUAAUCGGAGUUCUGUACAAAAUAAAUAAAUAAUUACAUUAUAUGGAGACAACGGUCCAGCAACCCGAAGUUGACUGGGAGACGACGACCUAGACCUCUCACGAACUCGUCACAGCAUCCUUCAUGCGCCUCAUCCUGUGGUACCUGUUCUUGACCUGUGGGGGGUGUGAGACAGCAAGAGUGAGCUCACAUACGUUCAUCGCUCAACAAGUUGUGGGGAAUAAUGUGCAUGAACUCGCCAAAGGUGGGAGCUCAUGUGAAGUGUAAGGCUUACCAAAGAGGAUGGUUGAAGCUGAGCAUUGCUUUUAAAGUUGGUCAAAAUUUUAUUAGCAAUUACUAAGUAUAAGUAAAUACCAAACUCAGUUAAGUAGUAGAACAAAAGUAAUAACAUCACCUGCGAUGCAAUGCAUAUGACAAAUUGAGUUUAAGUUCCAUAAUUUAAUCAUGUGAGUAUCCGAGCUGCUCAUGACCGUGAGCACGGCUAGUAUUUCAGUUUUACACUCUGCAGAGGUUGCACAUCUUUACCCACAAGUCAUGUUACCCAUCUGCCAAGGGAUCGCGACUUCCCAUACACCUCUACCGAGGAGGCGAGGCAGGGUAACACUACGAGGCCUUUACAAAGUUCCACUAGCUUCAGAAAACCCGCUACAGUUUAUAGGAAGCUCCAAUGCAGGAAUCCCUUGCAGGACCGCCAUCGCAGCAAAAUCCUCCCGAGGGCCUCCCUACACUGACCACUCCCCUACUGCCCUUGCCCCUUUCGGGUAAGGUAGUCUUCCACUAGCUUUCCUAAUUAAUCGGUCAAGGGCGUCCCAUUAAACCCUUGUGGUAGCACUGUUUUCCCGGGUGGUUCUCCAUGUUCCAAUUAACAUAAUGAUCUUAACAUGAACAAUAAAUAACAACUGAUAACAAAAGUAUAAUCAUGAGUAAUGUAUCUUCAUACCCAAAACCACAUAAAGCACUAGCAAGUACUACCCAAAAAGUUCAGUGGUAACAAGGUAUAAAGAUAAUCAAACUAGGGUAACCUAUUGGGUCCCAUCAAAAUUAACCUAUGCAGAUCAUUAUGAUUAAUUAGAACAUGAGUGGGUAAAAAGAAGUGAUCAAGGGCACAACUUGCCUGGGACUUGAGAUUCCAGGUACCAGGAUGAUCUUCAGAUGACACGUCCUCCCCGCUAAACGUAGCAAUACAGACAUACAUGGUAUAGGCAAAAUUAACAUCACACCAAACAUAAGAACAACAUACAUAAUAAUAAUCUACGCGUCGUUACGAGAUCGUGGGUUCGAGAACCGCUAAAUUCGGAACUACGGUUAUUAAGUUAUGAAUUUCCAAAAUUAUUUAGUGCUUAGAAUAGUUUAAUCCAAAUGAACAAUUUUAAUUCAAGUUUUGUGGCUAAACAAAGGUACUAGGUAAUAAAUAAUACUUAAACAAAAUUAAUGCCACUGGAAUGAAUCAAUUUGGAGCUAAAUUCACCAAGUUAGGGCUUGUUCGGUUUUACCCCAAUCCAUAUGGAUUGAGGGGGAUUGAAGGGGUUUCAAUCUACAAUAAGUCAAAAUCCCCUCCAAUCCGUAUCAAUCCCCUCCAAUCCAUAUGGAUUGAAAAUAACCGAACAAGCCCUUAUGAAUUUCUUAAGUUUGGGACAUUAUUUUGCAUUAAAAAGAAUUUCUGUAUUAAAUUUAAUAAAUUUCUGAGUUACUUGGACUGCGGCCACUAUUUAAUAGAAAUCCAGGGGGUUCUGCGCAAAAGACACCAAGACUCAGAACUCCCGCAGUUUGGACUGCGGGUUGUUUUCUGUAAAUCCUAGGGGUUCUUUAGCAAGAUUGACUCGGCUGAAGGGCUACGGGCGAUUCUCGGCCGUUGGAUCACCAGCCGAGGGCUCAGAUUAGAUCACUACAUCAACCGAAGCGGUAUGCAUCGUCAGCCGCUGAAUCCUAUAUCUACGGCUCGGAUUUUAUUACCCUAGAUCCAAUCCUGUCCGUUGAAACUAGAUCAAUGGACCAGAUUGAAUCAACGCGAAAGGGUACACGGGGACUAAUCCCAGCCGUCCACCAACAAAUUAACGGCUGAUGGCCCUUCUUCCCCACCCGAACACCCAGCCGCGAUGGCAGGCCCUCCCCGCGGUGGAGCUCACCCGCGAGCUGAAAUUCCACCAUCAUCGGGCACUAAACCAAAAUCAAACUGGUGCUACGCGAUUAGGGGUGAAUGCAGAACAUCCAAGAAGGCGAAUUACCUUCGGGGGUGAGGCAGGGACCCAGGCCCACGGCGCACCGCAGCUCCGUCGUGGAUCUUGGACCCGACGAGAAAUUGGACGCCGAUGCUCCCUGGAAUUCCCCUCGAAGGCUCACUGGUCGCAAGCGCUUGCCCCGGCGGACCUCGCAGACCCCACGACCGAGCAACGAGGGCGCACACUGUGAAUUUGGAUUGCGGCGGCUGUCCACGGUUGCAAGCUUCUCACCCACUUGCUGAACUCUACUACUCUGUCUAUGCUAGGGCUAUACGAUGGCGGCGCCGAGGGGGUCGAUUGAGGGACGAGGCAUCGUCGGGUUAUAUACCCAGGCGAAUUCGGUCAGCGGCCGUACCGCGGAGUUCGGCAUGACCGCCCAAGCCGCGUCGUUCGGAGGUUGUUGAUGACCCCGCGCGCUCGUUGGCUGACAUCUUGGACCCACGCGACAGUGGACGGAAGAAAAGGAUGAGCGCGAGACUGCGGCUGAUGCAUGGGCCCAUAAAGACAGUGGCAGUGAGGGCGAGCGCGACCUGGAGUGGGUUGGCUGACGCGGAGGGCCCGCGUGUCAGUGGAUCGCCCGGCGCGUGGGGGGGGGCUGAAAUGGCUAGUUGGGCCAGAAUGGUGUUGUUUGGCCCAAUAGCACAGUUUUGUUUUAUCCUUUUCUUUUCCAUUUCUUUUUCUCCAUUUUCAAAUUCAAUUUGAAUUCAAGUUUCAAAUCAAACUUAGGCCAAAUUUAUUUCCAAAUCAUAUUGUGAAAUUAAAAUACAAGUUUUUAGAGAUAUACUUAUAUUAUUUAUAUUUUUUAUAUCAUUUCUCUUCUUCUCAUUUUCAAAAACCCUAGGUUUAAUUUAGGGCUUAAUUCAACUUCUAGCAAUUAUUAUCUUAUUACCAUUAACAUUAUUAUUUUAUUUAAUGCACAAACAUAUAAACUCCAACAUGAUGCAUUUUUUUGUCAUUUGUUUGAAUUAAACUCUAAAUUUUUGUGUAUGCUCUUUUUAUGAUGCAAAUGAGGCACAUCAAAUAAGGAAAACACUAUAUAUUCCUUGUACACAAUUUUGAGUAUUACAAAUCCUACCCCCCUUAAAAAUAAUCUCGUCCUCGAGAUUUGUAAGAAAAGAGUAUAACCAUGUUAUCUCAAAACAUAUGCACAAACAAAAUCUCAGCAUAAUGCAUAAUUUACUAGCAACACAUGGGGUCAAUUAGACCUUAUUAUUCCUAAAAUAGCAAAAUACUAACUACUAACUAAAGUAAUAUUUAGAUCUUACAAAUAGUAGUAACGUAUAUAUAUGUUUAUGUAGCUUGGUGGAGCUGGUGGUUAGAAAAGCAUGGGUGUAUAUAUGUAUGUCCACUUUAUUAUGUAGGAUAGAAGAUGCUUUUAAAGCAUAGAUAGGUUUGGGCAAGAAAGGAUAGGGUAAGGAAAUACUCCAUCCAAGAUUGUGGAUCUUGAUUCCUUCGAAGAUCUGGCUUGAAUCUUAUCCUUCCUUGAUUUGAUGAAGUCGAUCAUCUUCAAUCUUCGUUCUCGAAGUUGUUAUCCGAAUUUGGGACAUGUAGUGAAGGCAGAUUCUUAGGUAAACAAAAUAGGUUAAUAGGUGGUUAUAAGUUAGAUAAGGUUAAGCAGAGUCUAUCUUGUUGUUUUGCUUCUAGAUUGGUUGGAUAAGUUAUGUAACCUGUUAUAUCGGUCAAGUUUGGUGUUAUCAUCAAGGAUAAUGGGUAUCGGUGUUACCAUAACUAGGGACAUAGUUGAGAUAGGUGUGGGUACAUGGGGUAGGUAGAUUGAACCAAGUUUUUUUGCUUAUAAGAUAAAUGGGUUGGGCAUCCUAUAAUAUAGGCUGGGUCGUGGUUUCAUGAACGAGUUGGUUUAAGACACCAAUUUUGGUUUAGUGCAUGAGAGGAGAACAAGGUUUAUAGGAGUAGGAUCCAGUCUUAUUUUACCAGUAUUAUCUAACAUGUUUGUCCAUUUGGUUAGAUCUGAUCAGAUUAGAUGGGAUCAGAAUUAAAUUGAUGUAUUCAGAUUAGGCUAGAUAAGAUCUACUAGAUUUAUUUUGGAGUAGAUCAUGUUUGUUACACUAUUAUGAGAUAAGCAAAGUGGUGAGGAUAAGUAUGCUUAUUAGAACAAGAUGAGUCUCUAAGAACAAAAUAGAAUCUUUUGGUACUGGUUAGAUCGAUUGGGAUAAGAUGAGAAUCCUUUCGAGAAGAGAUGAGUCUAAUAAAGUAAGAGAGUAUCUUUUAAGAUAGGAUGGAUCAUUUUAAGAUAAGAGAGAGUCUUUUAAGAUAAGAGGGAUCUCUAUGAAAUAGAUACAUUUUAAUGGAGGAUAAUCUAAGUUGUUUAGUUAUCUUAUAAAUUCUAUUUCAUUUAUAUUAAUGCUUAUACGUAUAUGUAGAUGUAAUUGUGGACAUUCCUCCACAACUCAUCACACUCAAUCAAAGAUCCAAAUCAGGCAAGUAUCAUAAGAACAAACAUUCAAGCAUACAAAUACCUAUAAAAAUAGUUUUGUUUUUGUUCCUAAGAGUAGGUCUCCUAUUCCUAAAGUCACUUUAGGCACAGGAUUUCAAAGUGUGAAAUCCACAUUUGUCUUUAGAAUGAAAAGGUAAGAAUAAUCAGAGUAAAGCGGAAAUAGAUGAGAAAAGAUUAAGAAAAGUUUAGAAAAGAAUCAGAGUAGCAAGGGUAAGUAAGUAUUGGUUGUCCAGUUCUAUCUAGGUUUCGUCCUACAGUCAACAUUCCUCUGAUACCACUUCUGUCACACCCGGGUUUUAGGGGUCCAAAGCCCGGGCGCGAACAUAAUCACCAGGUGUGCUGGGACCAAGUCUCACACAUAUGAUGAAUCAUGGCACAAGAUCGAAUGUCACAUCUGUACUAUAUAAUCGGAGUUCUGUACAAAAUAAAUAAAUAAUUACAUUAUAUGGAGACAACGGUCCAGCAACCCGAAGUUGACCGGGAGACGACGACCUAGACCUCUCACGAACUCGUCACAGCAUCCUUCAUGCGCCUCAUCCUGUGGUACCUGUUCUUGACCUGUGGGGGGGUGUGAGACAGCAAGAGUGAGCUCACAUACGUUCAUCGCUCAACAAGUUAUGGGGAAUAAUGUGCAUGAACUCGCCAAAGGUGGGAGCUCAUGUGAAGUGUAAGGCUUACCAAAGAGGAUGGUUGAAGCUGAGCAUUGCUUUUAAAGUUGGUCAAAAUUUUAUUAGCAAUUACUAAGUAUAAGUAAAUACCAAACCCAGUUAAGUAGUAGAACAAAAGUAAUAACAUCACCUGCGAUGCAAUGCAUAUGACAAAUUGAGUUUAAGUUCCAUAAUUUAAUCAUGUGAGUGUCCGAGCUGCUCAUGACCGUGAGCACGGCUAGUAUACCAGUUUUACACUCUGCAGAGGUUGCGCAUCUUUACCCACAAGUCAUGUUACCCAUCUGCCAAGGGAUCGCGACUUCCCAUACACCUCUACCGAGGAGGCGAGGCAGGGUAACACUACGAGGCCUUUACAAAGUUCCACUAGCUUCAGAAAACCCGCUACAGUUUAUAGGAAGCUCCAAUGCAGGAAUCCCUUGCAGGACCGCCAUCGCAGCAAAAUCCUCCCGAGGGCCUCCCUACACUGACCACUCCCCUACUGCCCUUGCCCCUUUCGGGUAAGGUAGUCUUCCACUAGCUUUCCUAAUUAAUCGGCCAAGGGCGUCCCAUUAAACCCUUGUGGUAGCACUGUUUUCCCGGGUGGUUCUCCAUGUUCCAAUUAACAUAAUGAUCUUAACAUGAACAAUAAAUAACAACUGAUAACAAAAGUAUAAUCAUGAGUAAUGUAUCUACAUACCCAAAACCACAUAAAGCACUAGCAAGUACUACCCAAAAAGUUCAGUGGUAACAAGGUAUAAAGAUAAUCAAACUAGGGUAACCUAUUGGGUCCCAUCAAAAUUAACCUAUGCAGAUCAUUAUGAUUAAUUAGAACAUGAGUGGGUAAAAAGAAGUGAUCAAGGGCACAACUUGCCUGGGACUUGAGAUUCCAGGUACCAGGAUGAUCUUCAGAUGACACGUCCUCCCCGCUAAACGUAGCAAUACAGACAUACAUGGUAUAGGCAAAAUUAACAUCACACCAAACAUAAGAACAAGAUACAUAAUAAUAAUCUACGCGUCGUUACGAGAUCGUGGGUUCGAGAACCGCUAAAUUCGGAACUACGGUUAUUAAGUUAUGAAUUUCCAAAAUUAUUUAGUGCUUAGAAUAGUUUAAUCCAAUUGAACAAUUUUAAUUCAAGUUUUGUGGCUAAACAAAGGUACUAGGUAAUAAAUAAUACUUAAACAAAAUUAAUGCCACUGGAAUGAAUCAAUUUGGAGCUAAAUUCACCAAGUUAUGAAUUUCUUAAGUUUGGGACAUUAUUUUGCAUUAAAAAGAAUUUCUGUAUUAAAUUUAAUAAAUUUCUGAGUUACUUGGACUGCGACCACUAUUUAAUAGAAACCCAGGGGGUUCUGCGUAAAAGACACCAAGACUCAGAACUCCCGUAGUGUGGACUGCGGGUUGUUUUCUGUAAAUCCUAGGGGUUCUUUAGCAAGAUUGACUCGGCUGAAGGGCUAUGGGCGAUUCUCGACCGUUGGAUCACCAGCCGAGGGCUCAGAUUAGAUCACUACAUCAACCGAAGCGGUAUGCAUCGUCAGCCGCUGAAUCCUAUAUCUACGGCUCGGAUUUUAUUACCCUAGAUCCAAUCCUGUCCGUUGAAACUAGAUCAAUGGACCAGAUUGAAUCAACGCGAAAGGGUACACGGGGACUAAUCCCAGCCGUCCACCAACAAAUUAACGGCCGAUGGCCCUUCUUCCCCACCCGAACACCCAGCCGCGAUGGCAGGCCCUCCCCGCGGUGGAGCUCACCCGCGAGCUGAAAUUCCACCAUCAUCGGGCACUAAACCAAAAUCAAACUGGUGCUACGCGAUUAGGGGUGAAUGCAGAACAUCCAGGAAGGCGAAUUACCUUCGGGGGUGAGGCAGGGACCCAGGCCCACGGCGCACCGCAGCUCCGCCGUGGAUCUUGGACCCGACGAGAAAUUGGACGCCGAUGCUCCCUGGAAUUCCCCUCGAAGGCUCACUGGUCGCAAGCGUUUGCCCCGGUGGACCUCGCAGACCCCACGACCGAGCAACGAGGGCGCACACUGUGAAUUUGGAUUGCGGCGGCUGUCCACGGCUGCAAGCUUCUCACCCACUCGCUGAACUCCACUACUCUGUCUAUGCUAGGGCUAUACGAUGGCGGCGCCGAGGGGGUCGAUUGAGGGACGAGGCAUCGUCGGGUUAUAUACCCAGGUGAAUUCGGUCAGCGGCCGUACCGCGGAGUUCGGCAUGACCGCCCAAGCCGCGUCGUUCGGAGGUUGUUGAUGACCCCGCGCGCUCGCUGGCUGACAUCUUGGACCCACGCGACAGUGGACGGAAGAAAAGGACGAGCGCGAGACUGUGGCUGAUGCGUGGGCCCAUAAAGACAGUGGCAGUGAGGGCGAGCGCGACCUGGAGUGGGUUGGCUGACGCGGAGGGCCCGCGUGUCAGUGGAUCGUCCGGCGCGUGGGGGGGGGGGGGCUGAAAUGGCUAGUUGGGCCAGAAUGGUGUUGUUUGGCCCAAUAGCACAGUUUUGUUUUAUCCUUUUCUUUUCCAUUUCUUUUUCUCCAUUUUCAAAUUCAAUUUGAAUUCAAGUUUCAAAUCAAACUUAGGCCAAAUUUAUUUCCAAAUCAUAUUGUGAAAUUAAAAUACAAGUUUUUAGAGAUAUACUUAUAUUAUUUAUAUUUUUUUUAUAUCAUUUCUCUUCUUCUCAUUUUCAAAAAACCUAGGUUUAAUUUAGGGCUUAAUUCAACUUCUAGCAAUUAUUAUCUUAUUACCAUUAACAUUAUUAUUUUAUUUAAUGCACAAACAUAUAAACUCCAACAUGAUGCAUUUUUUUGUUAUUUGUUUGAAUUAAACUCUAAAUUUUUGUGUAUGCUCUUUUUAUGAUGCAAAUGAGGCACAUCAAAUAAGGAAAACACUAUAUAUUCCUCGUACACAACAAUUUUGAGUAUUACAUCCCCGUAUCCCGAGUGGCUCAUAUCGGAC
This 8787-nucleotide long non-coding RNA is filed under the name Zea mays. RNAcentral's name for it is "long non-coding RNA (ZMAY_LNC002895)". The record is from RNAcentral. Lineage: Eukaryota; Viridiplantae; Streptophyta; Magnoliopsida; Poales; Poaceae.